RNAcentral lists this ribosomal RNA (440 nucleotides) under uncultured bacterium. Its description in RNAcentral is "partial 16S ribosomal RNA". It matches the Rfam family "Bacterial small subunit ribosomal RNA", at positions 338 to 795 of the family's 1533-position model. The record is from RNAcentral.
CCUACGGGUGGCAGCAGUGGGGAAUAUUGCACAAUGGGGGAAACCCUGAUGCAGCGACGCCGCGUGAGGGAAGAAGGAUUUCGGUUCGUAAAGCUCUAUCAGCAGGGAAGAAACUGCCGGUACCUGACUACGAAGCCCCGGCUAACGACGUGCCAGCAUCCGCGGUAAUACGUCGGGGGCACACGUUAUUCGGAUUUACUGGGUGGAAAGGGGGCGUAGGCGGCAGCGCAAGUCUGGAGUGAAAGCCCCUGGCUUAAACAUGGAACUGCAGUGGAAAAUGUGCAGCUGGAGUGCAGGAGAGGUAAGCGGAAUGCCUAGUGUAGCGGUGAAAUGCGUAGAUAUUAGGAGGAACACCAGUGGCGAAGGCGGCUUACUGGACUGUAACUGACGUUGAGGCUCGAAAGCGUGGGGAGCGAACAGGAUUAGAUACCCUUGUAGUC